This is a long non-coding RNA of Emys orbicularis (European pond turtle), 234 nucleotides long. RefSeq lists it as uncharacterized. The record is from RefSeq and is a predicted model, not a curated record. The transcript has 3 exons. NCBI's taxonomy places the organism in Eukaryota, Metazoa, Chordata, Testudines, Emydidae.
AGGUUAAAAAGAGCAAAAAAUGGAGCUGCAAAGUAUGUGGUGAGAAGCAGAUGCUGCUAAAGGCCUAUGGCCAAGGCUCUGGGUCUGACUGUAGACGCCAUGUCCAAAAAUUAAACUUGCUGCGGGCUGGGACGGAGGUGGCAGCUGAGGGAACAUCUUGGUGUAUAGAGGAACCAGUGAAUAAUGACAAAGAGAACACAGGAGUUCCACAGGAAGAAAACGUGGGCUGGCAGG